UUGCUUGGAAAUCCAAAUAGACGUGGCUUUAAGUUGUCUGUUGUCUGGUGCUGAUGGCUAAAUGUGAGCUCUUCCUUACAGGUGUAGGGUCAAGGGACAGACGAAAUUCUUUGAGGUCAAGAAGAAAAUGGACAGUACUGUCACAGGGAGCUGGGCUCCAAACAACAAUCCUGCCUCUUCUGCUGUGAAGAGCUCCUGUCACCCAAAUCUGAAGGUACUGCACUUUGAAGGUGGAGAAAAUAGCUUGGCGCCACCAAUUUUAUGACCCUGGCUUAAUAGAAAGGUGUGGAUGGGUUGUCGCUGUCUUCAGGAAACACAGAGGCAGACUCUGAACAGCAGAGAAAACCCUACAAUCAGUGUUCUUUAAAAAAAGAAAGGUCAUCAAAUUUUCAUGGUCAUUUUAUAUACUACACUCACACAGAGGUGAUAGAUCACCUUUAUUGUCACAUGCACUGGUACGUACACACACACACGUUUUCUUUUCUGCCUUUAACUCAUUCCUGAGUAGCAGUAUAGCACUCAGGGAACAGUUAGGGGUUAAUGUCACUAAUAGGGCUUUUCUAUCGGGCAGGAGCUGGAGCUAACUUGGAGCUAGCAGGUGUUUUAGCUACGAUUCUUUUUGUAUCCACCAACAGAGCUCCAGCUCUCGCAGCUAAAAACUGGAGCUUAGCUGACCCCAACUAGCUGCUGCACCAGGGCACAACUCCAAAGUGGGUGGGAGGAAGGAUGGCGGAAGGCGGGGUUGUUAUAAGUGUCUUGCAAGAAACAUUGAAGCCAUUUUCUUUUGACUUGACUCAAGUUCAUAAUGAAAAAUCUAAUAUAAACGAUAAUACAAGCAAAUGGAAAAUAAAGUUGUCAAGCAGCAGUGGAGUGAGGAGGAGACUCGAUGCUUCGUGGCACUUUGGUGCAAUGAGUAGGUGGAGGACAAACUGAAUUCUGCCACCCAGACCAAGCUCGUAUUCGAGCGGCUGCAGCGGGAGAUGCCGGCCGCCCGGUUCACCCGUACGGUGCAUCAGCUAAUUAAUAAGCUGAGGGAGGACUUCAGAGACCAGAAGCAGGAGCUGGAGUGCAGAGGAAGGGUGGUGAGCCCACAUUUUGAGAUGCUGAACACCGUGCUCGGAGACCGCCCGGCCAAGAUGUCGACCGGGGCAAUGUGCUCUCCUCACGUUUCCACGCUAGAGGCAACUGCAACAGAACCCGACUCGUCUGUGAACAUGGAUUGUUCUGUGCCAUGGGCAGCAUCUCUAGGACCGUCAUGCAGCACGCCCCUUCCCAGCCCCUCCACCAGCUCAUCAAUUGAAUUAUACGCUGCUGCUAUUGAUACUUAGACAAUGUAAGAGGAAGCGGUACUCGAUUGGCUAAAUCCUGCAGUACAUGGAAAGGUCCGAGGAGAUGUUCGGACUGGAAGGCAGGGAG
RNAcentral lists this long non-coding RNA (1416 nucleotides) under Gouania willdenowi (blunt-snouted clingfish). RNAcentral describes it as "lncRNA (ENSGWIG00000010685.1)". The record is from RNAcentral. Lineage: Eukaryota; Metazoa; Chordata; Actinopteri; Blenniiformes; Gobiesocidae.